UGGCUCAGAUUGAACGCUGGCGGCAGGCCUAACACAUGCAAGUCGAGCGGAUGACGGGAGCUUGCUCCUUGAUUCAGCGGCGGACGGGUGAGUAAUGCCUAGGAAUCUGCCUGGUAGUGGGGGACAACGUUUCGAAAGGAACGCUAAUACCGCAUACGUCCUACGGGAGAAAGCAGGGGACCUUCGGGCCUUGCGCUAUCAGAUGAGCCUAGGUCGGAUUAGCUAGUUGGUGGGGUAAUGGCUCACCAAGGCGACGAUCCGUAACUGGUCUGAGAGGAUGAUCAGUCACACUGGAACUGAGACACGGUCCAGACUCUUACGGGAGGCAGCAGUGGGGAAUAUUGGACAAUGGGCGAAAGCCUGAUCCAGCCAUGCCGCGUGUGUGAAGAAGGUAUUCGGAUUGUAAAGCAC
Molecule: ribosomal RNA, 411 nt
Filed under: Pseudomonas sp. AE_165
Lineage: Bacteria; Pseudomonadati; Pseudomonadota; Gammaproteobacteria; Pseudomonadales; Pseudomonadaceae
Description: bacterial SSU rRNA
Rfam family: Bacterial small subunit ribosomal RNA
Source: RNAcentral